UACGUAGGCAGCAAGCGUUGUUCGGAAUUACUGGGCGUAAAGAGUGUGUAGGCGGUGUUCUAAGUCUGUUGUGAAAUCUCCCGGCUUAACUGGGAGGGUGCGGCGGAAACUGGAAUGCUAGAGGAUGGGAGAGGUAAGCGGAAUUCCUGGUGUAGCGGUGAAAUGCGUAGAUAUCAGGAGGAACACCUGUGGUGUAGACAGCUUACUGGACCAUUUCUGACGCUGAGACACGAAAGCGUGGGUAGCAAACAGG
Molecule: ribosomal RNA, 253 nt
Filed under: uncultured bacterium
Lineage: Bacteria
Also listed under: 1 other name
Description: partial 16S ribosomal RNA
Rfam family: Bacterial small subunit ribosomal RNA
Source: RNAcentral